AGAGUUUGAUCAUGGCUCAGGAUGAACGCUGGCGGCGUGCCUUGGGCAUGCAAGUCAUACGGUCCCUCUUUGCGGAGAUAGUGAGAAAGUAGCAAUACAAUCAAUCUAUUGAAGUGUUGAGGAGAUAGUGGCGAACGAGGUAGUAAUAGACAGGAACCUCCCCCCGAGCCAGGAAUAAUCCCGCGAAAGCGGGACUAAUACCUGAUAGUCUCUACGGAGUAAAGUCGCAAGACGCUUGGGAAAGGGCCUGUCCAGUAUCAGCUAGUUGGUAGGGUAAUGGCCUACCAAGGCAACGACACUUAGGGGAGCUGAGAGGCUGACCCCCACCGAUGGGACUGAGACACGGCCCAUACACCUACGGGUGGCUGCAGUCAAGAAUCUUCCACAAUGGACGAAAGUCUGGUGGAGCGACGCCGCGUGAUGGAUGAAGUCCCUCUGGGACGUAAACAUCUUUUGUCGAGGAGAAAGUAAUUGAUAGUACUCGAAGAAUAAGGGGUUGCUAAACUCGUGCCAGCAGCAGCGGUAAUACGAGUGCCCCAAGCGUUAUCCGGAAUCAUUGGGCGUAAAGGGUGUGUAGGUGGUCAGGUUAGUCUUCUGUCAAAUUCUUCGGCUUAACCGGGGGUCUGCGGAGGAAACGGCCUGACUCGAGAAUGCAAGGGGUGAAUGGAACUCAUGGAGUAGGGGUGAAAUCCGUUGAUAUCAUGGGGAACACCAAAAGCGAAGGCAAUUCACUGGGGCAUUUCUGACACUGAAACACGAAAGCGUGGGUAGCGAACUGGAUUAGAUACCCUAGUAGUCC
RNAcentral lists this ribosomal RNA (799 nucleotides) under uncultured bacterium. RNAcentral's name for it is "bacterial SSU rRNA". It matches the Rfam family "Bacterial small subunit ribosomal RNA", at positions 8 to 796 of the family's 1533-position model. The record is from RNAcentral.